GGUACUCACUUUGCGAAUCAGUCAGUCGAAUGUCAUUCUCGUUGGAAGUCGAGUUGGAAAUACCGCCAGUUGUGGAAUUGAAACUGCUUUCGUUUCCGGCAGAUAUCUGCGGAAAAACAGGAGACGUCCAGGAUAACGCAGUUCCAGCGGCAACCGCACCCAAACAAACUGUAACACAUCGAUUGUUGUCUUCGACUGAUUUUCUUGUAGAAGAUCAUAGGUUAUUGGAUUGCGUGAGUCUCCGUCCUCUUGACUGACGGUCUGCAAAAGAAGAAGGAAUCUUUAGGAUCUGCUUAAAAGAUUAUAUCACACUUAAAUAGGCUGCAUUCAUAAUGAUUACGAUGGCUGCCCUGCUCGGUUUCCUCACUGGCCUGGUUAUGAUAAUAGGCAAAGUUCUAGCGUUUCUUUGGACUUUGACGAAAACCAUAUACGUCACCCUGAAAAUUGCAAGGACCUUAAGGAAAACACCAACAUUUAGCGAUGUGAAGACUCGAUUUAAGGAGUUUUCCCUCAGAAAUGCAAAAACUAUACUAAAAGAAUAGUUGAACAAGUCUUGAACGCAUUCAUGAUCCAAUUCAGUACCCAAUUAACUCUUAAGAAAUGUCUAAAAUCACUUGGUUUG
RNAcentral lists this long non-coding RNA (622 nucleotides) under Drosophila melanogaster (fruit fly). Its description in RNAcentral is "antisense RNA:CR45192 (Dmel_CR45192)". Lineage: Eukaryota; Metazoa; Arthropoda; Insecta; Diptera; Drosophilidae. The record is from RNAcentral.